ACAUGCAAGUCGAGGGGUAACAGAAGUAGCAAUACUUGCUGACGACCGGCGCACGGGUGAGUAACGCGUAUGCAACCUACCUUUGACUGGAGAAUAGCCCGAAGAAAUUCGGAUUAAUGCUCCAUGAGACCACAAUACCGCAUGAUAUAGUGGUAAAAGCUCCGGCGGUCAAAGAUGGGCAUGCGUGCCAUUAGUUAGUUGGUGAGGUUACGGCUCACCAAGACAACGAUGGCUAGGGGGUCUGAGAGGAUGAUCCCCCACACUGGUACUGAGACACGGACCAGACUCCUACGGGAGGCAGCAGGGAGGAAUAUUGGUCAAUGGACGCAAGUCUGAACCAGCCAUGCCGCGUGCAGGAUGAAUGCCCUAUGGGUUGUAAACUGCUUUUCUACAAGAAGAAACUUCCUGAUGUAUCAGGAACUGACGGUAUUGUAGGAAUAAGCAUCGGCUAACUCCGUGCCAGCAGCCGCGGUAAUACGGAGGAUGCAAGCGUUAUCCGGAUUCAUUGGGUUCAAAGGGUGCGUAC
Molecule: ribosomal RNA, 526 nt
Filed under: uncultured organism
Description: bacterial SSU rRNA
Rfam family: Bacterial small subunit ribosomal RNA
Source: RNAcentral